RNAcentral lists this ribosomal RNA (259 nucleotides) under uncultured prokaryote. RNAcentral describes it as "partial 16S ribosomal RNA". It matches the Rfam family "Bacterial small subunit ribosomal RNA", at positions 524 to 782 of the family's 1533-position model. The record is from RNAcentral.
UACGCAGGUGGCAAGCGUUAUCCGGAAUUAUUGGGCGUAAAGAGCGCGCAGGUGGUUGAUUAAGUCUGAUGUGAAAGCCCACGGCUUAACCGUGGAGGGUCAUUGGAAACUGGUCGACUUGAGUGCAGAAGAGGGAAGUGGAAUUCCAUGUGUAGCGGUGAAAUGCGUAGAGAUAUGGAGGAACACCAGUGGCGAAGGCGGCUUCCUGGUCUGUAACUGACACUGAGGCGCGAAAGCGUGGGGAGCAAACAGGAUUAGA